GAUGAAGAACGUAGCGAAAUGCGAUAAGUAAUGUGAAUUGCAGAAUUCAGUGAAUCAUCGAAUCUUUGAACGCACCUUGCGCUCCUUGGUAUUCCGAGGAGCAUGCCUGUUUGAGUGUCAUUAAAUUCUCAACCUCACCAGUUUUGUAACGAGACAGGUGAAGGCUUGGAUGUGGGGGUUUUGCAGGCUGCCUCAGUGCUGGUCUGCUCUCCUGAAAUGCAUUAGCGAGCUCAUAUUGAGCUUCCGUCUAUUGGUGUGAUAAUUAUCUACGCCGUGGAUUGGACUCAUGCUUACUUCUAACCGUCCGCAAGGACAAUUUACUUGACCAAUUUGACCUCAAAUCAGGUAGGACUACCCGCUGAACUUAAGCAUAUCAAUAAGCGGAGGA
Molecule: unclassified non-coding RNA, 388 nt
Filed under: soil metagenome
Description: partial contains 5.8S ribosomal RNA, internal transcribed spacer 2, and large subunit ribosomal RNA
Rfam family: 5.8S ribosomal RNA (bases 1-120)
Source: RNAcentral